This 253-nucleotide ribosomal RNA is filed under the name uncultured bacterium. Its description in RNAcentral is "partial 16S ribosomal RNA". It matches the Rfam family "Bacterial small subunit ribosomal RNA", at positions 524 to 776 of the family's 1533-position model. The record is from RNAcentral.
UACGUAGGGGGCUAGCGUUGUCCGGAAUCAUUGGGCGUAAAGCGCGUGUAGGCGGCCCGGUAAGUCCGCUGUGAAAGUCGGGGGCUCAACCCUCGGAUGCCGGUGGAUACUGUCGGGCUUGAGUACGGAAGAGGCGAGUGGAAUUCCUGGUGUAGCGGUGAAGUGCGCAGAUAUCAGGAGGAACACCAAUUGCGAAGGCAGCUCGCUGGGACGUUACUGACGCUGAGACGCGAAAGCGUGGGGAGCAAACAGG